This 147-nucleotide unclassified non-coding RNA is filed under the name soil metagenome. Its description in RNAcentral is "partial internal transcribed spacer 1". The record is from RNAcentral.
UAAUAAGUGUUUUAUGGCACUUUUUAAAUCCAUAUCCACCUUGCGUGCAAUGUCAGUCGAUCUUCUUCAUGGAGAUCGACGCGAACAUCAACCUUUAUCUUUUAACUCUUUGUCUGAAAAAUAUUAUGAAUAAACUAAUUCAAAAUA